This 449-nucleotide ribosomal RNA is filed under the name uncultured bacterium. RNAcentral's name for it is "partial 16S ribosomal RNA". It matches the Rfam family "Bacterial small subunit ribosomal RNA", at positions 29 to 523 of the family's 1533-position model. The record is from RNAcentral.
AACGAACGCUGGCGGCAUGCCUAACACAUGCAAGUCGAACGAGAUCUUCGGGUCUAGUGGCGCACGGGUGCGUAACGCGUGGGAACCUGCCCUUUGGUUCGGAAUAACAGUUGGAAACGACUGCUAAUACCGGAUGAUGACGAAAGUCCAAAGAUUUAUCGCCAGAGGAUGAGCCCGCGUAGGAUUCGCUAGUUGGUGUGGUAAAGGCGCACCAAGGCGACGAUCCUUAGCUGGUCUGAGAGGAUGAUCAGCCACACUGGGACUGAGACACGGCCCAGACUCCUACGGGAGGCAGCAGUGGGGAAUAUUGGACAAUGGGCGAAAGCCUGAUCCAGCAAUGCCGCGUGAGUGAUGAAGGCCUUAGGGUUGUAAAGCUCUUUUACCCGGGAUGAUAAUGACAGUACCGGGAGAAUAAGCUCCGGCUAACUCCGUGCCAGCAGCCGCGGUAA